This 483-nucleotide ribosomal RNA is filed under the name uncultured Corynebacterium sp. RNAcentral describes it as "bacterial SSU rRNA". It matches the Rfam family "Bacterial small subunit ribosomal RNA", at positions 8 to 507 of the family's 1533-position model. The record is from RNAcentral. Lineage: Bacteria; Bacillati; Actinomycetota; Actinomycetes; Mycobacteriales; Corynebacteriaceae.
AGAGUUGAUCUGCUCAGGACGAACGCUGGCGGCGUGCUUAACACAUGCAAGUCGACGGAAAGGCCCUGCUUGCAGGGUACGUCGAGUGGGCGAACGGGUGAGUAACACGUGGGUGAUCUGCCCUGCACUUCGGGAUAAGCCUGGGAAACUGGGUCUAAUACCGGAUAGGAGCCAUUUUUAGUGUGAUGGUUGGAAAGUUUUUUCGGUGUAGGAUGAGCUCGCGGCCUAUCAGCUUGUUGGUGGGGGUAAUGGCCUACCAAGGCGGCGACGGGUAGCCGGCCUGAGAGGGUGGACGGCCACAUUGGGACUGAGAUACGGCCCAGACUCCUACAGGAGGCAGCAGUGGGGAAUAUUGCACAAUGGGCGCAAGCCUGAUGCAGCGACGCCGCGUGGGGGAUGACGGCCUUCGGGUUGUAAACUCCUUUCGCUAGGGACGAAGCUUUUGUGACGGUACCUAGAUAAGAAGCACCGGCUAACUACGUG